ACCUGCGGAGGGAUCAUUACACAAAAAAAAAAGUAUGAGGGCGUGUGGUGCUGGCAACAGCGUCCCCCCGCCCAAGUAUCUUUUUUCACCCAUGUCUUUUGCGCACUUUUUGUUUCCUGGGCGAGUUCGCUCGCCACCAGGACCCAACCAUAAACCUUUUUUUAAAAGCAGUUGCAAUCAGCGUCAGUACAAUAAUUCAAUUUAUUAAAACUUUCAACAACGGAUCUCUUGGUUCUGGCAUCGAUGAAGAACGCAGCGAAAUGCGAUACGUAGUGUGAAUUGCAGAAUUCAGUGAAUCAUCGAAUCUUUGAACGCACAUUGCGCCCUUUGGUAUUCCAAAGGGCAUGCCUGUUCGAGCGUCAUUUGUACCCUCAAGCUUUGCUUGGUGUUGGGCGUCUUUUGUCUCUCCCUCUCUCUGGGGGAGACUCGCCUUAAAACGAUUGGCAGCCGACCUACUGGUUUUCGGAGCGCAGCACAAAUUUGCGCAUUCCAAGCCACAGGGCGGCAUCCAGCAAGCCUUUGUUGUCUACAACAAAUCCACAUUUUGACCUCGAUCAGUAGGGAAC
Molecule: small RNA, 566 nt
Filed under: Exserohilum curvatum
Lineage: Eukaryota; Fungi; Ascomycota; Dothideomycetes; Pleosporales; Pleosporaceae
Description: eukaryotic LSU rRNA
Rfam family: 5.8S ribosomal RNA (bases 209-362)
Source: RNAcentral